This 539-nucleotide long non-coding RNA is filed under the name Arabidopsis lyrata. RNAcentral's name for it is "long non-coding RNA (ALYR_LNC000302)". The record is from RNAcentral. Lineage: Eukaryota; Viridiplantae; Streptophyta; Magnoliopsida; Brassicales; Brassicaceae.
AUUUAAAAUCAUGAUGAAUCCAAAAGUCCUCUUCAAUUCACGUUGAAGAAGUUCUCUCAAGGGAUAAAGAAAAGAAGCCAUCAUCAAGAAUGGCGAUUCAAACCAAAGGCUGUGCUCUAAAACUCUACUCUAUUUAAAUUUAAAUUCAUUACCGUAGUUCAAUUGCUAGUCUUUAUGCUCUAAUAUGUUUCUCUUAAACUUGUCACAUUCUUAAAAUUUUCUUUGAUAUUCCUCAUAGCAUACACUUAUAUAUUCUUCUUUAUCACUUGUUUAAAGGGUAAAGGAGACUAUGAGAGCCUCAAAGAAAUUCGAGAAGUGCAAGAUUGGAGAUCAUGAGAAGCGAGUCAAAGGCAGUGUAGCGGUUCAAAGACUUGAAGAGAAGAGAGCCGGUUCUUUACAAACCAAGAUCAUAGCGACAUCAAGGACCGUGAAGGCUAUACUCUUUUUCCCUUAACAAAGUUUUAUCCCAAGUGGUUUUCUUUGUUAAGGUUUUUAAUGAGGUAGUCGACACGAGUCCACGCUUGAUCUCUGGUCCUCAU